RNAcentral lists this transfer RNA (85 nucleotides) under Candidatus Komeilibacteria bacterium CG_4_10_14_0_2_um_filter_37_10. Its description in RNAcentral is "tRNA-Leu". It matches the Rfam family "tRNA". From Rfam's summary of the family: Transfer RNA (tRNA) molecules are approximately 80 nucleotides in length. Their secondary structure includes four short double-helical elements and three loops (D, anti-codon, and T loops). The record is from RNAcentral. Lineage: Bacteria; Candidatus Komeiliibacteriota.
GCCAGAGUGGUGAAACUGGUAAACAUGCACGGUUCAGAGCCGUGUGCCGCAAGGUUUGAGGGUUCGAGUCCCUCCUCUGGCACCA